RNAcentral lists this microRNA precursor (62 nucleotides) under Caenorhabditis briggsae. RNAcentral's name for it is "microRNA cbr-mir-7580 precursor (cbr-mir-7580-1, cbr-mir-7580-2)". Lineage: Eukaryota; Metazoa; Nematoda; Chromadorea; Rhabditida; Rhabditidae. The record is from miRBase by way of RNAcentral.
AGCCACUUCGGUUGUGGUUAUACAAACAGAAGUUGAUAUAACCCAAUCACGAAAAUGGCUGA